AUUGAACGCUGGCGGCAGGCUUAACACAUGCAAGUCGAGCGGGGUGAUGGUGCUUGCACUAUCACUUAGCGGCGGACGGGUGAGUAAUGCUUAGGAAUCUGCCUAUUAGUGGGGGACAACAUCUCGAAAGGGAUGCUAAUACCGCAUACGUCCUACGGGAGAAAGCAGGGGAUCACUUGUGACCUUGCGCUAAUAGAUGAGGCUAAGUCGGAUUAGCUAGUUGGUGGGGUAAAGGCCGACCAAGGCGACGAUCUGUAGCGGGUCUGAGAGGAUGAGCCGGCACACUGGGAGUGGGACAAGGCCCAGACUCCUACGGGAGGCAGCAGUGGGGAAUAUUGGACAAUGGGGGGAACCCUGAGCCAGCCAUGCCGCGUGUGUGAAGAAGGCCUUAUGGUUGUAAAGCACUUUAAGCGAGGAGGAGGCUCUUUUGGUUAAUACCCAAGAUGAGUGGACGUUACUCGCAGAAUAAGCACCGGCUAACUCUGUGCCAGCCGCCGCCGUAA
RNAcentral lists this ribosomal RNA (503 nucleotides) under uncultured bacterium. RNAcentral describes it as "partial 16S ribosomal RNA". It matches the Rfam family "Bacterial small subunit ribosomal RNA", at positions 30 to 523 of the family's 1533-position model. The record is from RNAcentral.